CCUAGGUGGGGUGGGGAGGGGGGAGCCACAACAACAUUUGGAUUCCACCUGGGAGGCAAUCGGGAAGCAGUACAGGGCUUGGAGCAGAGAAGCAGAUCUCAUCACAAAGAAGGGGGGACCUUCUGACCGUAGUCCUCAGGAUGAACUGGAGGGAGGAGAGAAUGGAGGCAGGAUGGCCUAAGAGGAGGUGAUGGCAUCUUCCCAGCUGGACUUCUUGUGGGGCUGGACAGGGCAAAUCAAGUAGAGGCAGGGCCAGACUUGUGGAGGAAGGGUGCAAGAGGAAAGAGUCCAAGACAGCCCUUGGGCAUCAAGAUGGUCAGAGGCAUGGAACCUUUGUGGGGAUUUCAAACUGGGCACCCAGGCAGCCAGCAUUCCCUGAGACUGCCCAGGGUCCAGCACUAGUGAAGGAAGGUAGGAAGCAUUUAGUAAGUGCCUAAUAUGUGCUGAGCACUGAGCUAAGGAAUGGAGAAGACUCAUGGAAGGUUGGAGCUGCAAGGCUGAUGGAAAAGUCCCAUGCUAUUCAGGGUACAGAGGCAAAGUAGAAAGCAAUGCCCCCUCCUUGGUGUCAUUGCCACUCAACAGCUUAUGUUUCUGGAGAUGGGAACAAGGACUUUGGGCAUCAACCUUUUCCUGUAUCUUCAGUGGGGUUGUGGCUGCCUUCCCUGCAAGAGCAGUCAGUGAGCAGGCUUCAUCUCCACAGCCAGAAUAGGGCUCAGGGUGGGGAUGAACUUGCCCAGCUGUCUUCUUUCUGUCACUCCCUUCUCCCUCAGGGGUCCAGUGAAUGUUGUGGGGCUUGGGGACUGCCCCAGGUGAUUGGCAAAGCAGGGCUCAGGGAGACCUUCUCCCUGGAGAAGGUGAAAUGAAUGAGGUUUUAGGAGUUCCAAGUCAAAGGAUCAGGAGCCUGAGCUCUUGGCUAGCUCUCGGGCCCCCUUCCCUCUCUGGCACCCAUUCUCUAAAAUGAAGGGGUGGGGUGGGGAGGCAUAAGUGGACUUGAGGGUCCCCUCCUGCUCUCAAAGCUGUGAUUGGCUGAGAACUAGGAGAAGGGAAGGAGGACAAGUUUGGCUCUGGAGAGGGGAGGAGGCUACAAGCUUGAGGGUGACCAGUGGAAGGGCAACUGCAGAUGGGCUGGCAGAAGAAGCAGGGGUGCAGGGAGUGCCUCUCCUGGGGUGCAGAAGCUGGAGUGCAAAGACUGGUGUGAGCCGGUCUGCUGGGCCCACUGCUGCUCCUCAGUGAUGUUCACCUUUGUGAUGUAGAGGAAAGGGUAGGACUGCAUCUGGGAUCAGCCCAGCUGGGCUGGAAUCUCAGCUCUGCUCUACUUAGUAGUAGAGUGCCUGGGUGACCUUGGGCCAGUCCCUUACUCUCUCCAAGUUGCUUGGUUUUCUCACCAGAAACACUAAGUGAUGUCUUGGGUCCAGCUCUAGAUCUGACCUGUGCUCCAUGGUCAGCCCCCUCAGCCUUCUGGGAGCUGAUAUUGUCAGCUGGCAAAAGCCCACCCAUUCUUACACCUAGUGCAGCCUCAGCCCUGACUUUGAGGGGCUUGGGCACAGCCACCCUCACGUCCAGUGAGACGACCCUGGGCAGGAAAGAAAAACCGAACCCCAAACCUGGGCCUUUGAUUCAUGAUAAAGCCUGUGCCCCAGAUGAUGGAAGGAACAGAGCCCUGAGAGGAGAGGAGAGCCCCUGGAUGUGGUGGUCAGGCAGGGGCACUGGAGGCUCAAUAGCCUUUCUACCAGCCUGAGCUCUUUGGGAGUGGGACAUGGGCUGAGGGGUCUUCGAGUCAAGGCUGGAGGAGCCAAUUUGGCAGGCAUAGUUUGGUCUAGACAGUAACAGCAUUUAUGUGGUACUUAUGUGUGCCAGGGACCAUGCCAAAUGCUUCUCAAACAGGAUCUCAUUAGGUCCAGGAGGGAGGAGGUGUCCUGGGGAAUAGAUGGGGAAACUGAGGCAGACAGCAAGGAAGCGACUUGCCCAGCUAGGGAGUGUCUGAGGCUGGAGGUCUUCCAGAAUGGCUUGUUGCCUCUGAGCCUGAGCAAAGAGGAGUCAGGGAGCUGAGAGCCCCUGCCCCCCUCUUCCCUGGGUCACAUCCCUGUGGAAAGACACCGAAGUUCAGAGCACCGAAAACCAAACAAUCCUGAUGAAGAGCUUCACCAGCUUGAGAGAGAAUGUUGUUUUGAAUCCUGGUGGGUUUCUGGACCCUUCUACUUGAGUUUAUGGAGACAGAUGGCCCCCUCACUCCUGCCACCUAGAUGGAGAGGAAAUGACUGAGCCCAGCAAACUGGUCACCCCUGUGGGGGGGGGGCAGUUAGGUCACAAAGCCUGAAGGAUGUCACUAUGCAGAGGGGGUUCUGAGGUUGUCAUGACUGAGGGGCCCUACAUCAGACAACAUUCCUUCCCUGGGAGGCUGUGAUAGGAAUGGUGGUCUUAAAAACUCCUGCAGUGAGGGAGAUGAAAGAACAGCAGCCACACUCUCCUCCUAUGAACUCUGUGGCCAUUUUGAGACCUUUUCGACUGUCCCCUGGACAGAUUCCAGUGAGAAGACUGGAUGGCAGACCCGGACCCCAACCACUGCCUGGAGCCCACCCAAGGAUGCCUCCAUCUCAACAAGAAGCUUUCCUGGAGAUUGCAGAAGAGCAGAAGGCCCAAAGUCAUCCUCUCCCCAGAUAUUGCUCAUGGAGGAUGUUCUUUGAAGUUUUAAUGUGUUAUUUUACAUUCUUUUCUCUAAAAAUAAAAAGCUCACCCGUCCCCAAAAGAAAAAUAAAGAUCUUCUAUGGUGACUU
Molecule: non-coding RNA, 2774 nt
Organism: Monodelphis domestica (gray short-tailed opossum)
Lineage: Eukaryota; Metazoa; Chordata; Mammalia; Didelphimorphia; Didelphidae
Source: RefSeq, a predicted model, not a curated record